RNAcentral lists this ribosomal RNA (467 nucleotides) under uncultured bacterium. Its description in RNAcentral is "partial 16S ribosomal RNA". It matches the Rfam family "Bacterial small subunit ribosomal RNA", at positions 28 to 506 of the family's 1533-position model. The record is from RNAcentral.
GACGAACGCUGGCGGCGUGCUUAACACAUGCAAGUCGAACGGAAAGGCCCUGCUUUUGUGGGGUGCUCGAGUGGCGAACGGGUGAGUAACACGUGAGUAACCUGCCCUUGACUUUGGGAUAACUUCAGGAAACUGGGGCUAAUACCGGAUAGGAGCUCCUGCUGCAUGGUGGGGGUUGGAAAGUUUCGGCGGUUGGGGAUGGACUCGCGGCUUAUCAGCUUGUUGGUGGGGUAGUGGCUUACCAAGGCUUUGACGGGUAGCCGGCCUGAGAGGGUGACCGGCCACAUUGGGACUGAGGUACGGCCCAGACUCCUACGGGAGGCAUCGGUGGGGAAUAUUGCACAAUGGGCGGAAGCCUGAUGCAGCAACGCCGCGUGGGGGAUGACGGCCUUCGGGUUGUAAACCGCUUUCGCCUGUGACGAAGCGUGAGUGACGGUAAUGGGUAAAGAAGCACCGGCUAACUACGU